UUGCCAUCAGUCCACCAGCGCUAGAAGACACUGCUUCGAUUUAAGUCAAUAAAAUAACACCUCUUCUUAAUAUCUUAUUAUAUUGUUGUGUCGUAUUGUAUUAGUUGGUUGG
Long non-coding RNA from Alosa sapidissima (American shad), 112 nucleotides. RefSeq lists it as uncharacterized. The transcript is spliced from 3 exons. Lineage: Eukaryota; Metazoa; Chordata; Actinopteri; Clupeiformes; Clupeidae. The record is from RefSeq and is a predicted model, not a curated record.